RNAcentral lists this ribosomal RNA (253 nucleotides) under uncultured bacterium. Its description in RNAcentral is "partial 16S ribosomal RNA". It matches the Rfam family "Bacterial small subunit ribosomal RNA", at positions 524 to 776 of the family's 1533-position model. The record is from RNAcentral.
UACGUAGGGUCCGAGCGUUGUCCGGAAUUACUGGGCGUAAAGAGCUCGUAGGCGGUCUGUUGCGUCGGCUGUGAAAACCCGGGGCUCAACCCCGGGCCUGCAGCCGAUACGGGCAGACUAGAGUUCGGCAGGGGAGACUGGAAUUCCUGGUGUAGCGGUGAAAUGCGCAGAUAUCAGGAGGAACACCGGUGGCGAAGGCGGGUCUCUGGGCCGAUACUGACGCUGAGGAGCGAAAGCGUGGGGAGCGAACAGG